GGCAACAACAAAAAGAUUAAACUCAAGGCUUCAAAACUGAAGUUCACAACUAUGAGUAACAUCACAAACACUCCUCUGAUACAAUCAAUGUCUGCUCCUUAGAUCACUUACACCUGUGCUCGUUUCUCACCUGCCCCUGAUUCCGCCCUUAGUCAACCCUGUUCAUGUGCUCCAUUGUUUUCCCUUCUCCCCAGCCACAUAUUUUAAACUCUACACUGCCAUGUAGGUUGGAUUACUUUCCAGAAUUUCCUAUUAAUACAAUUUUUGAUGUUGAAUUUUUGUCUCCUGGUUUUUGAAAUGUUGCCUUCACUGUACCUGGAUUUGUUUUCCAUGAUUCAGACUGCCCACCUGACACAGUCCCCUCAGCAAAGAAGAGCGGCUUCCUGGUGUCCACAACAAUGAGGUCGAAGAAGGAGCGCCAUGGCUCUUGAGGCUUUCCAGACUGGAACGAAGAGAAAUGUUAAUAGUACAAUUAAAAGGCCAAUAUCUGAC
Long non-coding RNA from Notolabrus celidotus (New Zealand spotty), 492 nucleotides. RefSeq lists it as uncharacterized. Lineage: Eukaryota; Metazoa; Chordata; Actinopteri; Labriformes; Labridae. The record is from RefSeq and is a predicted model, not a curated record. The transcript has 2 exons.